RNAcentral lists this long non-coding RNA (682 nucleotides) under Homo sapiens (human). RNAcentral's name for it is "non-protein coding LINC01470:2". Lineage: Eukaryota; Metazoa; Chordata; Mammalia; Primates; Hominidae. The record is from RNAcentral.
UGUUUUUCAGAUGGGCUGUGGGAGGGAGCUGCUUUCUAAUUCAUCAGGUCCUAAAGGGACUUUCACGUGAGAGAACUAAUCCAAACUCAGUGAUGGUGCAAGGGUACUUCUUACCUCUAGGGACAGUCUCGGGUAUGUCUUCAUCAGCAGCAUGAAAAAGGACUAAUACACCCAGCUACAAACUAUCCCUUAAGCUAAAUAUGACUGGCUUGAAUGGAGCAACUGUAGAAGUAAUCAGAAUCCCCAAGUGAGUGGAACAAGUCAGUUCUAAAAGGGAGAAAAACCUUGGGAAUGCUGGAAACAGACAGCUCAAUGGGCAUAUUCAGAAGAAAACAAUAGAUACCAGUCUUUUCCAAAGUGUGGUGUGAAGAGUACUGCUCCUGUAAAUUUAACGAAAUUUUCCAUGGGCAAGAAAAAAGUACUUUAUCUUCUAGGAACUCCUGAGAACUGAGAAAUGACUGUUUAAUGAACAAAGAGAGAAGUGACAAUGAGACUGCCCUGUCCAGAGACUCCCAAAUAAAGAAGGAGUGGGAAAGUGGAAUUAGCAAAGCUCUUGUAAUCAUAGCAACUCAUUUGAGAAGAGCUUUGGCAAUUAUCAAAGCAAUCCUUCCUGCAUUAAGAAGAAACUGUUUCCUGGAUGUCACUCGAGUGACUUUCUGGCAAGCCCCAAGUCAACCUAUUG